This 253-nucleotide ribosomal RNA is filed under the name uncultured bacterium. RNAcentral's name for it is "partial 16S ribosomal RNA". It matches the Rfam family "Bacterial small subunit ribosomal RNA", at positions 524 to 776 of the family's 1533-position model. The record is from RNAcentral.
UACGUAGGGUGCGAGCGUUGUCCGGAAUUAUUGGGCGUAAAGAGCUUGUAGGCGGUUUGUCGCGUCUGCUGUGAAAAUCCGGGGCUCAACCCCGGACUUGCAGUGGGUACGGGCAGACUAGAGUGUGGUAGGGGAGACUGGAAUUCCUGGUGUAGCGGUGGAAUGCGCAGAUAUCAGGAGGAACACCUGAGGUGAAGACGGGUUGCUGGGCUGACACUGACGCUGAGGCGCGAAAGCCAGGGGAGCAAACGGG